RNAcentral lists this small RNA (102 nucleotides) under unclassified sequences. Its description in RNAcentral is "COG3943 RNA". It matches the Rfam family "COG3943 RNA". From Rfam's summary of the family: cow rumen. Environment (Cow rumen (57)) The record is from Rfam by way of RNAcentral.
UAAGCUCCGCACGGAAUGAUUUUUCUGAGCACGUGGCCGUCACAGGGCUGACGUAACACCAGCUGCCAUUGUGGAUAGCAUCCAGGUUGGUAGCACCGGUGU